CCCAGACUCCUACGGGAGGCAGCAGUGAGGAAUAUUGGUCAAUGGGCGAGAGCCUGAACCAGCCAAGUCGCGUGAGGGGAGACGGUCCUAUGGAUUGUAAACCUCUUUUGUCGGGGAGCAAAAAGGCCUCGUGAGGCCACAAGUGAGAGUACCCGAAGAAAAAGCAUCGGCUAACUACGUGCCAGCAGCCGCGGUCAUACGUAGGAUCCGAGCAUUAUCCGGAGUGACUGGGUGUAAAGAGUUGCGUAGGUGGCAUAAUAAGUAGCUAGUGAAAUCUGGUGGCUCAACCAUUCAGACUAUUAGCUAAACUGUUAAGCUCGAGACCGUUAGGGGUAACUGGAAUUUCUAGUGUAGGAGUGAAAUCCGUAGAUAUUAGAAGGAACACCGAUAGCGUAGGCAGGUUACUGGGACGGUUCUGACACUAAGGCACGAAAGCGUAGGGAGCAAACGGGAUUAGAUACCCUAGUA
Molecule: ribosomal RNA, 468 nt
Filed under: uncultured bacterium
Lineage: Bacteria
Description: bacterial SSU rRNA
Rfam family: Bacterial small subunit ribosomal RNA
Source: RNAcentral